AGUGAACGCUGGCGGCGUGCUUAACACAUGCAAGUCGAACGAGAACGGGUUAUAGCUUGCUAUAAUUGUCAGCUAAGUGGCGCACGGGUGAGUAAUGUAUAGGUAAUAUGCCUCUUACUAAGGGAUAACAGAUGGAAACGUUUGCUAAUACCUUAUACUCCUUAUUAACAGAAGUUAAUAAGGGAAAGAUUUAUUGGUAAGAGAUUAGCCUGUAUUGUAUCAGUUAGUUGGUGGGGUAAUGGCUUACCAAGACUAUGACACAUAACUGGUUUGGGAGGAUGAGCAGUCACACUGGAACUGAGACACGGUCCAGACUCCUACGGGAGGCAGCAGUGGGGAAUAUUGCACAAUGGACGAAAGUCUGAUGCAGCAACGCCGCGUGGAGGAUGACACAUUUCGGUGCGUAAACUCCUUUUAUAUGAGAAGAUAAUGACGGUAUUAUAUGAAUAAGCACCGGCUAACUCCGUGCCAGCCGCCGCGGUAA
RNAcentral lists this ribosomal RNA (484 nucleotides) under uncultured bacterium. RNAcentral's name for it is "partial 16S ribosomal RNA". It matches the Rfam family "Bacterial small subunit ribosomal RNA", at positions 29 to 523 of the family's 1533-position model. The record is from RNAcentral.